GUCCUAGCCGUAAACGAUGAACACUAGGCGUAGUCGGUAUCGACCCCGGCUGUGCCGAAGCUAACGCAUUAAGUGUUCCGCCUUGGGAGUACGGCCGCAAGGCUAAAACUCAAAGGAAUUGACGGGGCCCGCACAAGCAGCGGAGCGUGUGGUUUAAUUCGUCGCAACGCGAAGAACCUUACCAGGGCUUGACAUGCACCGGAAAACGGCGGAAACGUCGUCCUCCCGCAAGGGAUCGGUGUGCAGGUGUUGCAUGGCUGUCGU
This 264-nucleotide ribosomal RNA is filed under the name uncultured bacterium. RNAcentral's name for it is "partial 16S ribosomal RNA". It matches the Rfam family "Bacterial small subunit ribosomal RNA", at positions 793 to 1055 of the family's 1533-position model. The record is from RNAcentral.